UCUGUCACUGACGNUGAGGCUCGAAAGCGUGGGUAGCGAACAGGAUUAGAUACCCUGGUAGUNCACGCCGUAAACGAUGAGUGNUAGGUGUUAGGCCCUUUCCGGGGCUUAGUGCCGGAGCUAACGCAAUAAGCACUCCGCCUGGGGAGUACGACCGCAAGGUUGAAACUCAAAGGAAUUGACGGGGGCCCGCACAAGCGGUGGAGCAUGUGGUUUAAUUCGAAGCAACGCGAAGAACCUUACCAGGUCUUGACACCCCGAUGCUAUUCUUAGAGAUAGGAAGUUACUUCGGUACAUCGGAGACAGGUGGUGCAUGGUUGUCGUCAGCUCGUGUCGUGAGAUGUUGGGUUAAGUCCCGCAACGAGCGCAACCCUUAUUGUUAGUUGCCAUCNNUAAGUUGGGCACUCUAGCGAGACUGCCGGUAAUAAACCGGAGGAAGGUGGGGAUGACGUCAAAUCAUCAUGCCCCUUAUGACCUGGGCUACACACGUGCUACAAUGGUCGGUACAACGAGUUGCGAGCCGGUGACGGCAAGCUAAUCUCUGAAAGCCGAUCUCAGUUCGGAUCGGAGGCUGCAACUCGCCUCCAUGAAGUCGGAAUCGCUAGUAAUCGCGGAUCAGCACGCCGCGGUGAAUACGUUCCCGGGCCUUG
This 650-nucleotide ribosomal RNA is filed under the name uncultured bacterium. RNAcentral describes it as "bacterial SSU rRNA". It matches the Rfam family "Bacterial small subunit ribosomal RNA", at positions 733 to 1383 of the family's 1533-position model. The record is from RNAcentral.